This 60-nucleotide transfer RNA is filed under the name Steinernema carpocapsae. RNAcentral describes it as "tRNA-Met". The record is from RNAcentral. RNAcentral also lists the same sequence under 1 other name. Lineage: Eukaryota; Metazoa; Nematoda; Chromadorea; Rhabditida; Steinernematidae.
AACAAGAUAGGAUAAUUAAGUCCGCGAGGUUCAUACCCUUGAAGUGUUUUUCUUUUGUUA